CCUACGGGUGGCUGCAGUGGGGAAUAUUGGACAAUGGGGGGAACCCUGAUCCAGCCAUGCCGCGUGUGUGAAGAAGGCCCUCGGGUUGUAAAGCACUUUCAGUGGGGAAGAACGCCUGGUGGUUAAUACCCAUCAGGAAAGACAUCACUCACAGAAGAAGCACCGGCUAACUCCGUGCCAGCAGCCGCGGUAAUACGGAGGGUGCGAGCGUUAAUCGGAAUUACUGGGCGUAAAGCGCGCGUAGGUGGCUUGAUAAGCCGGUUGUGAAAGCCCCGGGCUCAACCUGGGAACGGCAUCCGGAACUGUCAAGCUAGAGUGCAGGAGAGGAAGGUAGAAUUCCCGGUGUAGCGGUGAAAUGCGUAGAGAUCGGGAGGAAUACCAGUGGCGAAGGCGGCCUUCUGGACUGACACUGACACUGAGGUGCGAAAGCGUGGGUAGCAAACAGGAUUAGAUACCCGUGUAGUC
Molecule: ribosomal RNA, 465 nt
Filed under: Vreelandella stevensii
Lineage: Bacteria; Pseudomonadati; Pseudomonadota; Gammaproteobacteria; Oceanospirillales; Halomonadaceae
Description: partial 16S ribosomal RNA
Rfam family: Bacterial small subunit ribosomal RNA
Source: RNAcentral